Molecule: ribosomal RNA, 161 nt
Filed under: uncultured bacterium
Lineage: Bacteria
Description: partial 16S rRNA
Rfam family: Bacterial small subunit ribosomal RNA
Source: RNAcentral
GGAAUCUUCCACAAUGGGCGCAAGCCUGAUGGAGCAACACCGCGUGAGUGAAGGAGGGUUUCGGCUCGUAAAGCUCUGUUGUUAAAGAAGAACACGUAUGAGAGUAACUGUUCAUACGUUGACGGUAUUUAACCAGAAAGUCACGGCUAACUACGUGCCAG